AGUGAACGCUGGCGGUAGGCCUAACACAUGCAAGUCGAACGGCAGCACAGUAAGAGCUUGCUCUUACGGGUGGCGAGUGGCGGACGGGUGAGGAAUACAUCGGAAUCUACUUUUUCGUGGGGGAUAACGUAGGGAAACUUACGCUAAUACCGCAUACGACCUACGGGUGAAAGCAGUGGAUCUUCGGACCUUGCGCGAUUGAAUGAGCCGAUGUCGGAUUAGCUAGUUGGCGGGGUAAAGGCCCACCAAGGCGACGAUCCGUAGCUGGUCUGAGAGGAUGAUCAGCCACACUGGAACUGAGACACGGUCCAGACUCCUAAGGGAGGCAGCAGUGGGGAAUAUUGGACAAAGGGCGCAAGCAUGAUCCAGCCAUACCGCGUGGGUGAAGAAGGCCUUCGGGUUGUAAAGCCCUUUUGUUGGGAAAGAAAAGCAGCAGGUUAAUACCCCGCUGUUCUGACGGUACCCAAAGAAUAAGCACCGGCUAACUUCGUG
Molecule: ribosomal RNA, 492 nt
Filed under: uncultured bacterium
Lineage: Bacteria
Description: partial 16S ribosomal RNA
Rfam family: Bacterial small subunit ribosomal RNA
Source: RNAcentral